ACCCAGUGCUCAUCCCGUCGAGUCUGCUCUUCACCCCCCAAGCCAGACUCGGCUCAGGACGCCUCUCCAAGCAGCACGAGAACCUAGGCAAGCAAAGGACGCCGCCUCGCGGAGAUGCUCAAGCGACAGCAGCCUUGGAGACCUCUGUCCUGUGUCCCUUUAUCCUUUCAUCUACGUCACUAGGGGCCACUGGUGACUUGGUCUUCACGGGAAAGCAAGCGUGCCUCUUUCUCCCAAACCCAGAAUGUAGGGGCCCUAAUUUCUAGGCACGACCGGAGAUGUGACAUUAUCCGAUGUCCUCUCUUACCCUUUCCAGCAGCAGAGAUCCACAAUCAGAAACUCAUUGUCUUCCGAUGUGAAGCCAAACCUUGAAAAAUGAGGAAAAAAAAAAGUGAGGAAAAGGUUUUGAUGCAUUUAUAAGGGAAAACAGUGCACACUAUGAAACACCUUCUUCAGAAUCAUAAGCGUGACAAGUAAAUGCCCGACUUACCCCCAUGGUUUCAUUGGACUCAAAACAAUCCAUGUAGUUGGCUCCCCAAAGACUCCACGAAGAAAGGAACUUGAGCAGGUUAAUUUUGACUGGCGUCUCCACAAAAACAAUAUAGUUGGGAGUCAAACCAAAACUGUUUAGAGACACAAGGAGACUUGUGAACGGGAGGGGCUGAUUCUCAAACCACAAAGAAAUCUGUGCACGGUGGGUAGGAAUCAACGGUGCCCACGUGAAAUUAAUUACAUUUAAAUCUAGGUUUCUGCAAGAAAAUGUCGUGAUCGGGAUUGGUAUCAAAGGUAGGCAAAGCAGAUCUUUAAACUUGAGUUUUCCUGAAGAUUCACAGCAGGGCCUUCAAGUUACCUAUGGACGUACGAUGGCUUGAAUCGGUCGCUGCAGGGGAAUUGUACGACGACC
Long non-coding RNA from Canis lupus familiaris (dog), 904 nucleotides. RefSeq lists it as uncharacterized. The transcript has 3 exons. NCBI's taxonomy places the organism in Eukaryota, Metazoa, Chordata, Mammalia, Carnivora, Canidae. The record is from RefSeq and is a predicted model, not a curated record.